Molecule: transfer RNA, 73 nt
Filed under: Synechococcus phage S-SCSM1
Lineage: Duplodnaviria; Heunggongvirae; Uroviricota; Caudoviricetes; Pantevenvirales; Kyanoviridae
Rfam family: tRNA
About the family: Transfer RNA (tRNA) molecules are approximately 80 nucleotides in length. Their secondary structure includes four short double-helical elements and three loops (D, anti-codon, and T loops). Further hydrogen bonds mediate the characteristic L-shaped molecular structure. tRNAs have two regions of fundamental functional importance: the anti-codon, which is responsible for specific mRNA codon recognition, and the 3' end, to which the tRNAs corresponding amino acid is attached (by aminoacyl-tRNA synthetases). tRNAs cope with the degeneracy of the genetic code in two manners: having more than one tRNA (with a specific anti-codon) for a particular amino acid; and 'wobble' base-pairing, i.e. permitting non-standard base-pairing at the 3rd anti-codon position.
Source: Rfam by way of RNAcentral
GCCUCCGUAGCUCAGCUGGUAGAGCAGGUCUUUUGUAAAGAUCAGGUCGCAGGUUCAAGUCCUGUCAGAGGCU